GACGAACGCUGGCGGCGUGCUUAACACAUGCAAGUCGAACGGAAAGGCCUUUUCGGAGGUACUCGAGUGGCGAACGGGUGAGUAACACGUGGGUGAUCUGCCCUGCACUCUGGGAUAAGCCUGGGAAACUGGGUCUAAUACCGGGUAGGACCGCACUUUAGUGUGUGUGGUGGAAAGUUUUUUCGGUGUAGGAUGAGCCCGCGGCCGAUCAGCUUGUUGGUGGGGUAAUGGCCUACCAAGGCGGCGACGGGUAGCCGGACUGCGAGGUUGGUCGGCCACAUUGGGACUGAGCUACGGCCCAGACUCCUACGGGAGGCAGCAGUGGGGAAUAUUGCACAAUGGGCGCCAGCCUGAUGCAGCGACGCCGCGUGGGGGAUGACGGCCUUCGGGUUGUAAACUCCUUUCGCCAGGGACGAAGCGUUUUGUGACGGUACCUGGAGAAGAAGCACCGGCUAACUACGUG
This 463-nucleotide ribosomal RNA is filed under the name uncultured bacterium. Its description in RNAcentral is "partial 16S ribosomal RNA". It matches the Rfam family "Bacterial small subunit ribosomal RNA", at positions 28 to 507 of the family's 1533-position model. The record is from RNAcentral.